CAACGAGCGCAACCCUCGACCUUAGUUGCCAGCAUUCAGUUGGGCACUCUAAGGUGACUGCCGGCUAAAAGUCGGAGGAAGGUGGGGAUGACGUCAAAUCAUCAUGCCCCUUAUGACCUGGGCUACACACGUGCUACAAUGGGCGGUACAAAGGGUCGCGAACCCGCGAGGGGGAGCCAAUCCCAAAAAGCCGCUCUCAGUUCGGAUUGCAGGCUGCAACUCGCCUGCAUGAAGCCGGAAUCGCUAGUAAUCGCGGAUCAGCAUGCCGCGGUGAAUACGUUCCCGGGCCUU
This 291-nucleotide ribosomal RNA is filed under the name uncultured Anoxybacillus sp. RNAcentral describes it as "partial 16S ribosomal RNA". It matches the Rfam family "Bacterial small subunit ribosomal RNA", at positions 1090 to 1382 of the family's 1533-position model. Lineage: Bacteria; Bacillati; Bacillota; Bacilli; Caryophanales; Anoxybacillaceae. The record is from RNAcentral.